Molecule: ribosomal RNA, 339 nt
Filed under: uncultured Pseudomonadota bacterium
Lineage: Bacteria; Pseudomonadati; Pseudomonadota
Description: bacterial SSU rRNA
Rfam family: Bacterial small subunit ribosomal RNA
Source: RNAcentral
AACAAACGCUGGCGGCGUGCCUAACACAUGCAAGUCGUACGAGAAAGGGUCCUUCGGGACCUGAGUAAAGUGGCGCACGGGUGAGUAACGCGUGGAUAAUCUGCCCCUCAGUUGGGAAUAACCCAUCGAAAGGUGGGCUAAUACCGAAUAACACUGUCCGGCCUCGGUCGGGUAGUCAAAGAGAGCCUCUGCUUGCAAGCCCUCGCUGAAGGAUGAGUCCGCGUACCAUUAGCUAGUUGGUAGGGUAAUGGCCUACCAAGGCGACGAUGGUUAGCUGGUCUGAGAGGAUGAUCAGCCACACUGGAACUGAGACACGGUCCAGACUCCUACGGGUGGCUG